UUUAGCCUGGGCUUGAGCGCGCGCAGAAGUCAGCUUCGUGACUUCCUUCUCAGGAUGGAACCAGCUUGGUGGCUUGAGGCUUAGCUAAGGGAGCAGAAGACUAACCGUGGUCACUACACAGGCUCUCAAAAUCCUUGCAGCAGUUCCCAAACUCUUGGCAGCGGGCAUUGCAGUGACAUUGGUGGUGCUUGUCAAAGGCUUCGUAGCAGCGGCCCUGGCAGGAGGAAAGGGGUUCUGAGUUGCAAAUCAGAAACUUGAAGAUGAAAUGGCUACUACGCUGGGUAUUGCCUUUAUCUUGAAUGCCAGCCUGAUGGUCCAAGGUGAACAAGCCUUCCUGUGUUUUCUGAAUGUGCAGUUCCCCCGCACUUUGCCUGCCACCAUGUAAGAUGUGUCUUUGCGCCUCCUUUGCCUUCCACCAUGAUUGUGCGGCCUCCCCAGCCAUGUGGAACGGCCCUGAAGGCAGCCCGUAUUUGUCUGGAUGUCUUCAUUCUUCCAGUCUAAGAACUCCUAAUUCAUCUCUGCACUCCCUGAGGCAUCAGCACUUGAGAGUAAACUCCUUUGAAUCCCUUGAGCCCCACGAGGUGGAUUUUCUCUCAAGAGCUCCCAGGCUAUGCUGAUGAAGUACCUCUUCUCUGCUUCUCUCCAGAAUAGUCAAAACCCUCAAAAUCCUCAAAAGUUCCUGGAGGUGGGAGGUUCCACCCCCAACUCUAUCCUCGCCUCUUCUACUGGUCUAGCCCGCAAGCCCCUCGGAGUUCCUGAGGGGCAGACAGGCCCUGGUGCACACAGGCGCUCCAUGCCAGGCCCUUGGGCUCUGGAGCCCCUGACACUGCCCUGGCACCUCAGACCCCAGGACUGGACACCCACAUGCUCCAGCCCAGUCUUCACACAGGAUCUCCUGCCCCCAUGCACACACUGAGGGCCAGGAUGCACCGUGCAACCCCUAUCCUAGUGCUGAACACCCCUUCCUCAGCCAGCUCCCCAAACUCACAGGCUGGAGCUAGGCCCUGGGCCGAGGUUGGGAACCCUGAAAGUGACAAAGGACGAGUAGAGGGGCUGCAGGGAAGCCAAGAGUGAGGGUGUCUGGAGGGCAGGGCCGAGCCCAGCUGAUCCUAGCAGAGCCAGGCCGGGCAGGGUGGAGCACUCACCAGCAGCCUCUCGAGGGCGGAGUACAGCUUCCGGACUUUGUGAGGCAGCCGCUGUGAAAAGGAGGCAGAUGAGCGGCUGCUCUGGGGGAGGCCCAGCCCCAUCCAGCACUCCCAGGAGGGCCUGAGGCCUGACCUCAGGAGGGGGCCCUCCAGACCACACUUACCUCCCAGGUGUGGGCUAGGCGGCUGAUGGCCGAGUUGCUGAGGCCAAACAUGACGGCAAAGAAGGAAUUGAGAUUCUUCUGCUCCUUGAGGCUGUGAGCAGAAGACCCAGAGACCCUCAGGGUAAGGGAAGCAGCCACCCCUACAGUGCCCCCAGACAACAGCCAGGCCAGCCUCUGCAGAGAUCCAAGCUGGAUGGGGUGGGAAGGCAGAGGCUCCAGGGGACCCAGGGAACAAAUAGGGUGGCAGAUUUGGCAACAUACUAAGCAAAGAGGGGGGCUUAGGAAAAGGUAGCCGGGGGGACUCUGGCCACGCCCUACCCACUGGACAGGGACUCACUGGGCCGCCAGCUUAAUGAACUUCCUGAGCAGCUGGGCCCGGGGGCCGGGCACGGGGCAGAGACACAGCUCGGUGGCCACCCAGUACUGCAGCUCAUUGAAGCGGCGCAUGAAGCGCUCCAGGUUGGCGGUGGUGACAUCCCGCAGAUGCUGGGGGCCCAGCACAUAGUGGAUCAGCUCCACCUGGGUGGGGUCAGCAGGAGAGGUCAGCGAGUGCUGAGCCGAGCCGGGCGCCCCGCCGCCUGCUCUCCUCCCCCAGCUCUGCCUCCCAUACCUGGUGGAUACUGUUGAAGAGGCUCCAGUCGUGGUCCGUCAGCUGGCCUGCCAGGUCCUUGGCACUCACCAGGUCCAGCCCCUCAGCAGAGCCCACAGUGGGCCCCAGCUGGUCAGGGUGUGGGAUCUGCGGGUGGGAGAGUGCUCAGGGGGCUGCCUGAGGAAUCCAGGGAAAGGCACAGGGUAGGGGGAGAGGGUUGGGGCAAGGACUCUAUGCUCGUGUUAGGAGGAGGGUUAGGAGGGCAGGAGUGGGGAGUAGAGGGUCUCUAGGGGCUAUAGCAGCUGGAGGAUAGGGCUCCCCAGUGCUGAGACCCCUCCUUUUGGGCUCCUGUCUCCUGGGGAACCCCUAACUAGGGCAGGUCCUCCUCUUUCUCCUUGGGAGCUCCCAACCAGUGCUACCAGCCCCUGCCCUGCACUAUCUUGGGAAUUCCCCCAUCAGCUGAGGCCCACUCCUUUGUGUGCUGAGGACCCAGCAGCAGCCAGAGCCAGGCCCCUCCUCCCUCUUCUCCCUGGGACCCUCCCCAGAAUCCACCACUGCCACACUCAAAAUAGAUCUCCUCCCUGGGCCCUGGCACCCUGCCUGGUCCCUACCAGCUCAUGCACUUCCUGUGGGUUGACAACAAAGAGACGCUCAUUGAGCCCCAGAGAUGUGGCCACACCACGGGCAUCUGGCUGCAGGCCAAUGGCAUCUGCAAAGACAGCAGAGGCGGACUGGGUGGGGGAAGGGAGGGAGGCCGGGGACCAGCUGGAUGCCAGGGUGGAGGUGCUGUUUGGGAGGCUGAGAGGUUGUUUCUCCUAGUAGCGGGGUUGAAGUCCUGGGUGGUGCUCAGAAUACACAGGUGCAUGUGCCCACGCAGCCACGCAGCCCAGGGAAGCACAUCCAAGAGGAUGAGGAAAGAUUCUCAGUGAGUCAGGAAGAACCUGGGCAGGGUCUGAGCCUCCCUCAGCCUCACUUUCUUCCCUGGUAAAAUGGAGACAAUAAGACUUGCCCCAACUAUUUCAUAAGUCAAAUAAAAUAAUGUAUAUAAAUAGUAGCUAUAAGUACAUGCUAUGUAUAAAAGCCCUUUGAAAAUUGGGAAGUGUCUUAUAUAAGCCUUGGUGUUGAUUUUCAUCAGCUCCUCAUGGACUGGGACUGUGCUUGAGUCCCCAGUCCCUAGAGCAGUGGCCUCCAAAGUAAGGUACAUCAGAUCAUCCAUGUGCCUGGGGAAAAUAUGAGCUCUUCUACUUACGUUUACUUUUUCUACCUGCUUUGCAUUUCUACUCCAUCAAUUUCUAUUUUAUCUAUCUUUAUUAUGAUAUUAAUGUAGUAAUAUAUGUGUAUUACUUACAAACAAAUAUUCACACAGUGGGGUGUGGGUUUUAAUUAAAUGUUGGUUAUUGA
This is a long non-coding RNA of Homo sapiens (human), 3299 nucleotides long. Ensembl annotates it as RPAP3 divergent transcript. Its record names the gene RPAP3-DT. Lineage: Eukaryota; Metazoa; Chordata; Mammalia; Primates; Hominidae. The record is from Ensembl.